Molecule: ribosomal RNA, 860 nt
Filed under: uncultured bacterium
Lineage: Bacteria
Description: bacterial SSU rRNA
Rfam family: Bacterial small subunit ribosomal RNA
Source: RNAcentral
AGAGUUUGAUCCUGGCUCAGGAUGAACGCUGGCGGCGUGCCUAAUACAUGCAAGUCGAACGCACUAGUUUACUAGUGAGUGGCGAACGGGUGAGUAACACGUAGGUAACCUGCCCUUAAGACGAGGAUAACCGUUGGAAACGAUGGCUAAGACUGGAUAGGAUGAUUGAAGGCAUCUUCGAUCAUUUAAAAGACCUAGUAAUAGGUAUGCUUAAGGAGGGGCCUGCGGCGCAUUAGUUAGUUGGUGAGGUGAUGGCUUACCAAGACGAUGAUGCGUAGCCGGACUGAGAGGUUGAACGGCCACAUUGGGACUGAGAAACGGCCCAAACUCCUACGGGAGGCAGCAGUAGGGAAUUUUCGGCAAUGGGGGAAACCCUGACCGAGCAACGCCGCGUGAAUGACGAAGUACUUCGGUAUGUAAAGUUCUUUUAUCAGGGAAGAAUGGCUAGUGGAAAAACUAGAUUGACGGUACCUGAUGAAUAAGCCCCGGCUAACUAUGUGCCAGCAGCCGCGGUAAUACAUAGGGGGCAAGCGUUAUCCGGAAUUAUUGGGCGUAAAGGGUGCGUAGGUGGUUAAUUAAGUCUUUGGUAUAAGUGCAGUGCUUAACGCUGUGAUGCUAAAGAAACUGGUUGACUUGAGUGUGGUAGAGGCAAGUGGAAUUCCAUGUGUAGCGGUAAAAUGCGUAAAUAUAUGGAGGAACACCAGUGGCGAAGGCGGCUUGCUGGGCCAUAACUGACACUGAGGCACGAAAGCGUGGGGAGCAAACAGGAUUAGAUACCCUGGUAGUCCACGCCGUAAACGAUGAGUACUAAGUGUUGGAGAAAUUCAGUGCUGUAGUUAACGCAAUAAGUACUCCGCCUA